This is a long non-coding RNA of Xiphophorus hellerii (green swordtail), 3414 nucleotides long. RefSeq lists it as uncharacterized. NCBI's taxonomy places the organism in Eukaryota, Metazoa, Chordata, Actinopteri, Cyprinodontiformes, Poeciliidae. The record is from RefSeq and is a predicted model, not a curated record. The transcript is spliced from 2 exons.
AAUUGCAGGCGUAUCCAUUAGCAUCCGCCGCCUGGAUUCACGUUUUAGUUAAACUGCGAGGGCACGUUCAGUGACGUAGACGAGCAUAUCAGCUGCGUGCAGCCAUAUUUAAAUACAUCAAGGCAAUUAGCCCAUCAAAAUAUGCAAAUCCCCCUCCUUACUACAUUGCCAGUGCAGCACGGCCGCAGUCGCAGGAUAAUUUGUACACCCACUACAGCGUGCGUGUGUUUUUUAAUGACUGCCGUUUUGAAAGAGCGACCACUGCGUUUGUUUUGUUCCAACAAGAAGGCAUAUAAAGCGAGCGGGACGGAAAGAGGAAGGCAUGAAGAAGAGGAGAAGAAGUGGAACCGGGAGACUGCUGCUGCGUGGAAAAAACGCCCAUGCGUAAUGAGACUAUCCGCGCCGACUAUUCUAUCUUAAUUCCUCGACGCCGUUGGCUCUGGUUUCUUGGGAACAUGCAACGUCUCUGGACGAUGAAGAUGACGACCAUGACGAUUAAACAGGGUCGGAGUCAAUGAAAAUUACUAAAUGGUGAAUGGUGACAUCUAGUGGUAAACUUGGAGAAUGCGCUCUGUGGAGGAAGAGUAGUGGUUUACCAGCUUCCACGACUCGUGCAGCUUGAAUAAUCCUGACUGUUGAUAGAAAAAGAAGAAAUAUUUAAUGCAUUCGUGCAUUCGUCGUCUUAGCCCCAAUUAGUUCAUGAUUUUUAGCUUUAAAAAGUUCACUCUGCUGUACCAAUGAAGCAAGUAGGCGGAAGGCUGGGCAAAUUAAUGCGAUUUGGAUCGAGAUGGACUUUGUUAGAUGCGCGCGCCUUGUUCUUUGUAACAGUUCAUUUUUAAUUUUUGUAGUCUCUUAAUAGUCGAUUGAUAUUUUUUCCUUUGCGUCAGUGCUCGUCUUAGAUAGACUCUGAUCUACUCAAUCGAAUCCACCCGGUCCACGAGUGACUCGAUUUCGUUAAUUGCAGCAGCGAAUUAUAUACAGCUCUGAAAAAAGCUGCAUUUUUUUUCUUAAAAAAUUAAGAAACCACUUAAAAUGAUCAUUUUAUCCGAUUUUACUUUUUAUAUGUGUUUGAGUAAAAUGAACAUUGUUCGUUUAUUCUAUGAACUACUGACAAAGUGCCUCCGAAAUUCCAAGCAAAAAAUUUAGUACUUAUUUGCAGAAAAUGAGAAAUGGUCAAAAUAACGAAAAAGAUGCAGUGCUUUCAGACGUCAAAUAAUGCGAAGGAAAAACGUUCAUGUACAAUUAGAAAGAACAAUACUAAUGUUUUAACUCAGGGAGAGUUCAGAAAUCAUUAUUUGGUGGAAUAACCAGGAGGAUUUCAAUGCUGUUCAGAAUGUUGAGAUCAUUUUACAUUGCAUUACAUACUUACAUGCAAAUAUGACGUGGAACAAUAAACUAUCCAUUAAAACUGUACUUGGAAUUAAUUAAUGCAAUCAUUUUGUCAGUAAUAUUUGUUGUGAUUGUACUAUUUAGCUUAUUGGAUUUUUAGCGACUUACUUUUUGUUCAUGUUUAGAUUAUUUAGGGAAAUAAUGAAUGGUUUUUUUUUUUUCUGUCUCUCAUUUUUGCUGCUUACAUCAGUUUAGUAGAAACUCAAAUAGGCCACCAGCUAAAUCUUUGCUGCGCUGCAUGCAGUAUGUAGGUCUAUUUGAAGUUCGAACUAUUAUGCAAAGACUCGAAAAAUCAAACUAAAUUGCGACACGACGUUAUUUUUUAGAGCGUUCCAGCGGUUUAAUGUGACCAAUGGAAACCGAUAAGGAUUCACCAGCGAUCAACACACGAAGUAGCGCCAUGUAUUAUUAUCUUUACCUUUAAAAAAAAAAAAAAACAGAUUCAGGAGAAAAUGAAUCUGUUUAUGCGCACCACUGAGCAUUUAAUAACACAACUGAGAUAAUUCCAAUGAAUUGCAAUUUAUUAGUUUACUUGACAUGAAAUAGGAUGAAUAGAAACUGAAACAUUUUGUACUUUGCGUUUUGUCUUUAUGUGCAAUGAAUGAAAAAAGACUUAGAUAAUGUUCAAAGCAAGUGUCGUAUUUCCUUGUAGACGGAAUUUGUUCAUCCCUUGUUUAUGAAGGGAUGAACAAACAGAGACAGGAUCUAACAAUAUCUUUGUUCUGUUUUAUGUCUUUAUUUCUAAUAUUUCAUGUUUUCCCUUUUUUGUCACUGACGUAGCUGUAAGGUCAUCCCAUCAAUCUAAUCAGUUGUCCUGAUUGGCCCAAAUGUAUUGUAAGAUCACAAAUACGCCAUGAAGUGACGUCAACAUUGCAGGUUUCUCAUAAUGAAGCUAUUUUUCAGCUAGGCCCUUUAUUUUUUUAUUUACCUAUUACGAAAAGAUGACUAUCGACUUAACAAGGGCCCUUUGAUGAUAUUUUUAGUUGAUUUAUUAAGACUUUUAUUGUCUUUUUUUAGUGCGUUCAUUCAUCGUCAUCACAGCAGUUUUGAACAGUUCUCUUUAUUAGGCCUAUUAUAACGUAAGCUCAAAAAGCGCCAUCCAAUGACGUCAAAAAUGGCAGAUUUUUCACAAUGAAGCCGCAGCGCAGCGAAACCUGUGAAUUUAUUUAAUUUGUACAAGUCAAAAAAGUAAAAAAAAAAAAAAAAGGAGAAACGUAUAAGUGAAUAUUGGCAUUUUUUUUAACCUAUACUGUUUUCUGACUAUAUUGAAGAUCAAAUGAACUCUACCAGCUUCUGUGAGUUUCAAUGUGGUGAUGAAGCUAAUUGUGAAUAUUGAAACAAAGUGUGGAUUUUGCGUUUUACCACUAUUUAAUAUUAACCAUCCUAAUGACAAAGGUUCACCUAAAAUGUAUUAUAUUCUAGAUUUUAGGGAAUUGAGAGAAAAUGAGAGCUGAAGGCUCAAGUGCAUCUUGUUUUCAUUUGAUUUUCUUUUUUAAACUUUAUUUCUUGAAGGACUUCUUUGUAACAUCAUCACAUUAUUACUAAGCAACUCUCCGGAUUAUGCCUGUUCUAUUUUAAGCUCACAAAUGAGAAAUACAGUGAUGUGAAAAUUAUAGAUAUCCACAAUAAGAACCCAUAUGAGCUAACCUCAUUGAUUGCUUUAUUUUCAGCUAUGUGUUGAUCAUUUGCAUGAGCAAAAAACAAUGGGAACAAAUAUCGAGAUUACAUGUAUUUUCCCUGUAUAAUCGGUUAUCUUUAAUGCUUUAAUAUUUUCAUUAUUUUUAUUUAGAAUCCAAUGAGCCAAUCAUGGUUUGAGCAACAGUUUGAGCAACACAAACUGCGUUCGCUUUUUUCCAUGUACUGUUUCUUCUACCUGAUGGAGAACACGUGUCUGUUCUUUGAUUUGCAAGAGACCUUUUUCACUAAUAAAAUAUAUCACCACUGUAAUUAUAAGUGUGAGAAAAAAAAAAAGUUUUUCAUUAAAUUGUUUAAUGUAUGUUUAAAUAAAAAGAAAUGCAGUCUCUC